RNAcentral lists this ribosomal RNA (253 nucleotides) under uncultured bacterium. RNAcentral's name for it is "partial 16S ribosomal RNA". It matches the Rfam family "Bacterial small subunit ribosomal RNA", at positions 524 to 776 of the family's 1533-position model. The record is from RNAcentral.
UACGUAGGGUGCAAGCGUUAAUCGGAAUUACUGGGCGUAAAGCGUGCGCAGGCGGUUUUGUAAGUCUGUCGUGAAAUCCCCGGGCUCAACCUGGGAAUGGCGAUGGAGACUGCAAGGCUAGAGUUUGGCAGAGGGGGGUAGAAUUCCACGUGUAGCAGUGAAAUGCGUAGAGAUGUGGAGGAACACCGAUGGCGAAGGCAGCCCCCUGGGUCGACACUGACGCUCAGGCACGAAAGCGUGGGGAGCAAACAGG